CAAUAGCGUAUAUUUAAGUUGUUGCAGUUAAAAAGCUCGUAGUUGGAUUUCGGAUGGGAUUUGCCGGUCCGUCGUUACGAUGUGCACUGGCCAGUCCUAUCUUGUUGUCGGGGACUAGCUCCUUGGAUUCACUUCCUGGGACUAGGAGCUGACGAGGUUACUUUGAGUAAAUUAGAGUGUUCAAAGCAAGCCUACGCUCUGAAUACAUUAGCAUGGAAUAACAUGAUAGGACUCUGGCUUAUCUUGUUGGUCUGUGAGACCAGAGUAAUGAUUAAGAGGGACAGUCGGGGACAUUCGUAUUUCAUUGUCAGAGGUGAAAUUCUUGGAUUUAUGAAAGACGAACUUCUGCGAAAGCAUUUGUCAAGGAUGUUUUCAUUA
RNAcentral lists this ribosomal RNA (378 nucleotides) under uncultured eukaryote. Its description in RNAcentral is "partial 18S ribosomal RNA". It matches the Rfam family "Eukaryotic small subunit ribosomal RNA", at positions 592 to 975 of the family's 1831-position model. The record is from RNAcentral.